Molecule: small nuclear RNA, 114 nt
Organism: Bombina bombina (fire-bellied toad)
Lineage: Eukaryota; Metazoa; Chordata; Amphibia; Anura; Bombinatoridae
Product: U5 spliceosomal RNA
Exons: 1
Source: RefSeq, a predicted model, not a curated record
AUACUCUGGUUUCUCUUCAGAUCGAUUAAAGCUUUCGCCUUUACUAAGGUUUCUGUGGAGAGGAUCAUCCAUAAAUUUUCAAAACUUUUUUGAGGCUUUGCUCCUUGCAGGGCU